Molecule: long non-coding RNA, 1054 nt
Organism: Coffea arabica (coffee)
Lineage: Eukaryota; Viridiplantae; Streptophyta; Magnoliopsida; Gentianales; Rubiaceae
Source: RefSeq, a predicted model, not a curated record
CAUUUCUUUUGCUUUUUGGGGUGUUUUAUUCGUGCUUCAUUACGUAUUUCUCUAUUUGACACGGACAUAGCUAAGAUAACUCCCUCUUACAAACAAAACUAGGGUUUCCAAGAUUCCUCCCUAAACUCCAAAUCCCUAGCUGAAAAGCCUUGCAAUAAUGGGGUUUCACUUGGUUCUAGUAGCAAAGCUCAAACUCUUGAGCGCAGGUCAUCACAUGUGCCUAAGCACUCCAAUAAUGGCCAGCUUAGUAGGCCCUUUUUUGAUCAAGUUCAUCUUCACUACUUUCAAACCUCUUCAUCAGGUUUUCAUCAAUGCAGCCUAUGCUUCCAGAUUGUUCAUUUUUCAGAUGGGCCAGAUAACCUUCAGUUCCCAGCCACCAGGAUUCACUAACGGCGCCAACACCAGGUGGCAGCGGGCUCUGCGGUUGGUGAGCGAGAGAUUGAUUCUUGCUCGGCAGUCGCAGACCACAGAUUCUGAAGAGGAGAGUAUCCGUGCUAUCUCAGCUCUAGCCCUCUAAGCUCUCAGACAGGUGUCUUGAAAAAUCUCUUAUUAACUUGUGGAUUUUCCUUCUUUGAGGAUCAACACAAAGAACAAAUUCAUGAGUGCUAUAUGAAACAGGUUUGUAUAACUGGUAUGCAAUUGGUGAAGAGAUGGUUAUGUGUUAGUAUUUAUAAAAAUUGUCAUUCAAACUUGGAAAGUGUCCGAUGUAAAAUAAAUGUGAGCAUGUAUUUAUAAAGUAGCUACUGCAUUGCAUGCAUGGUGCAAUUCACCACUAAGACAGAAUAGGAUGAAACAUAUUCGAUUUAGGGCAUUUAUUUUUCAAAUGAAUCUAUCAUUAUACUCGAGAUUUGGACCGUAAAUUAUACCAUACCCACCUAGUCAACCCUGCAUCUGUUGAGUCUCAUAUGCUAUAGGGUUUGGCAGAUUCAAGGGCAUGCAUGAUAUUAAAUACUCAUCAUUGCAUAUCUGUCUUUGUGAUAUACUCCCUCCCUUUUUGUAUAACUGACGUUUAAGGUUUUUCACACCAAUUAAGAAAAGUUUUUUAUUGCUUAAA